Long non-coding RNA from Apis dorsata (giant honeybee), 518 nucleotides. RefSeq lists it as uncharacterized. Lineage: Eukaryota; Metazoa; Arthropoda; Insecta; Hymenoptera; Apidae. The transcript is spliced from 3 exons. The record is from RefSeq and is a predicted model, not a curated record.
UAUCUAUCUACUGUUUCUUUACUCGUUAAGCUGACGAGUGCAAUAUACCGGUCGGCCUGGUCUGUUUUCCAGUGGUGCCAGGUGCGAUGGCCGAACGGCGUAACGACGUAACGACGGGUGCCGCAUUGCCGAUGUCGUGCCUGCCGUAACUACCGUAAACGGGGUCUUUUAGAGUGUUUGCGAAUCAGGCCGCGACCCCGUAGUCGUCAACUGUGGUAGUGGUUGCAAAGGGUUGUGCCGCGAAAUUAGAACAUUGCAUUCGUGAGGGUCGUCGCUGUCUCGCUCCCGUGGCGGGGCAUAAAUAGGAAUAAUACGAGCAACUAUGCGAUGUUGUAGCUCGUGCAUAGGUAGACGCGAGUGUAACGACCUUACACCCCCGCAGGUAGCGCGAGAUCGAUGGGCUCCAACCUCUCAUCCACAGUUCCUACCGCGGGCCAACUGCCUUCACCGUGCUCGCUUGUCCCACUUUUCUACUUUACCUUACCACUACCGACGUAACUCUACUUUGAUUCGCACUU